UACAGAGGUCCCAAGCGUUGUUCGGAUUCACUGGGCGUAAAGAGCGUGUAGGCAGCUCGGUAAGUCCGCUGUAAAAGUCCAGGGCUCAACCCUGGAAUGCCGGUGGAAACUGUCGAGCUAGAGUCCGGAAGAGGCGAGUGGAAUUCCUGGUGUAGCGGUGAAAUGCGCAGAUAUCAGGAGGAACACCAAUGGCGAAGGCAGCUCGCUGGGACGGUACUGACGCUGAGACGCGAAAGCGUGGGGAGCAAACAGG
RNAcentral lists this ribosomal RNA (253 nucleotides) under uncultured bacterium. RNAcentral describes it as "partial 16S ribosomal RNA". It matches the Rfam family "Bacterial small subunit ribosomal RNA", at positions 524 to 776 of the family's 1533-position model. The record is from RNAcentral.